CGAAAGAGCAAGUCUGACGAUGACAACGACCUCUCUGAUAAAGCAUGCAUAGUUUCGUUUUAUACAGCUUCCUUUCCACCAUCAUCGAUUUUGUAUACAAAAUUGUUGGGAUUGCGAUUGAGAUUUGUGUUUGCUGCAGAGGAAUUCUCAGUUCACAAGAAAACGGAUAGAUACAACCGAGCAAAAUCCAGAAUUCGCCGAACCCUAAUGGUUAUUGGAGUGUUAUUUUCCCUAAAUACAAAAGUUACUCCUUUUAUUUUCG
Molecule: unclassified non-coding RNA, 262 nt
Filed under: Hevea brasiliensis (rubber tree)
Lineage: Eukaryota; Viridiplantae; Streptophyta; Magnoliopsida; Malpighiales; Euphorbiaceae
Source: RNAcentral